Molecule: non-coding RNA, 98 nt
Organism: Hypoxylon sp. FL1284
Lineage: Eukaryota; Fungi; Ascomycota; Sordariomycetes; Xylariales; Hypoxylaceae
Source: the annotation of a GenBank genome assembly
GCCCGCUUGGCACAGCGGUAAUGCGCCUCACUAGUAUCUGUAGAUCCUACUGAGAAUUCGCAAUGAGGAGAUGACUGGUUCGACUCCAGUAGUGGGCA